GACGAACGCUGGCGGCGUGCUUAACACAUGCAAGUCGAACGGAAAGGCCCUGCUUUUGUGGGGUGCUCGAGUGGCGAACGGGUGAGUAACACGUGAGUAACCUGCCCUUGACUUUGGGAUAACUUCAGGAAACUGGGGCUAAUACCGGAUAGGAGCUCCUGCUGCAUGGUGGGGGUUGGAAAGUUUCGGCGGUUGGGGAUGGACUCGCGGCUUAUCAGCUUGUUGGUGGGGUAGUGGCUUACCAAGGCUUUGACGGGUAGCCGGCCUGAGAGGGUGACCGGCCACAUUGGGACUGAGAUACGGCCCAGACGCCUACGGGAGGCAGCAGUGGGGAAUAUUGUACAAUGGGCGGAAGCCUGAUGCAGCAACGCCGCGUGCGGGAUGACGGCCUUCGGGUUGUAAACCGCUUUCGCCUGUGACGAAGCGUGAGUGACGGUAAUGGGUAAAGAAGCACCGGCUAACUACGUG
Molecule: ribosomal RNA, 468 nt
Filed under: uncultured bacterium
Lineage: Bacteria
Description: partial 16S ribosomal RNA
Rfam family: Bacterial small subunit ribosomal RNA
Source: RNAcentral